UGGGGAAUCUUCCGCAAUGGACGAAAGUCUGACGGAGCAACGCCGCGUGUAUGAUGAAGGUCUUCGGAUUGUAAAGUACUGUCAUUGGGGAAGAACGGUUUUCUUGAAAAGAUUGAGAAGACAUGACGGUACCCAAGGAGGAAGCCCCGGCUAACUACGUGCCAGCAGCCGCGGUAAUACGUAGGGGGCAAGCGUUGUCCGGAAUUAUUGGGCGUAAAGGGCGCGUAGGCAGGCCUUUAAGUCCGGUGUGAAAGAUCAGGGCUCAACCCUGAGAGUGCAUCGGAAACUGGAGGCCUUGAGGACAGGAGAGGAAAGUGGAAUUCCACGUGUAGCGGUGAAAUGCGUAGAUAUGUGGAGGAACACCAGUGGCGAAGGCGACUUUCUGGACUGUAACUGACGCUGAGGCGCGAAAGCGUGGGGAGCAAACAGGAUUAGAUACCCUGGUAGUCCACGCCGUAAACGAUGAGUGCUAGGUGUAGAGGGUAUCGACCCCUUCUGUGCCGCAGUUAACACAAUAAGCACUCCGCCUGGGGAGUACGGCCGCAAGGUUGAAACUCAAAUGAAUUGACGGGGUCAUAGCUGUUUCCUG
This 589-nucleotide ribosomal RNA is filed under the name uncultured bacterium. RNAcentral describes it as "partial 16S ribosomal RNA". It matches the Rfam family "Bacterial small subunit ribosomal RNA", at positions 355 to 1376 of the family's 1533-position model. The record is from RNAcentral.